Molecule: ribosomal RNA, 519 nt
Filed under: uncultured bacterium
Lineage: Bacteria
Description: partial 16S ribosomal RNA
Rfam family: Bacterial small subunit ribosomal RNA
Source: RNAcentral
GACGAACGCUGGCGGCGUGCCUAAUACAUGCAAGUCGAGCGAGUCUACCAGGAACAUCGUCGUGCGUGCUCUGUGUGGGACAGGUGAGUGACUAGCGGCGAACCUAUGUGUAAGACUUGGGUAACUUGCGGAAGACAGCGCUAUAACAGGUGGAUACAUAUGCUAAUAUCGGAUAAUAACAGAUGAUGGCUAUCAACUGAUUAAAAGAUGGUUCUGCUAUCCCUCUUGUAGUGACCUGCGCUGCAUUAGCUAGUUGGUAAGGUAACGGCCUACCAAGGCAACGAUGCAUAGCCGACUUGAGAGGGUGAUCGGCCACACUGGAACUGAGACACGGUCCAAACUCCUACGGGAGGCAGCAGUAGGGAAUCUUCCGCAAUGGGCGAAAGCUUGACGGAGCAACGCCGCGUGAGUGAAGAAGGUCUUCGGAUCGUAAAACUCUGUUAUUAGGGAAGAACGAAUGUGUAAGUAACUAUGCACUGUUUGACGGUAAUCAAUUAGAAAGUCACGGCUAACUACGUG